Molecule: ribosomal RNA, 1765 nt
Filed under: Yersinia enterocolitica
Lineage: Bacteria; Pseudomonadati; Pseudomonadota; Gammaproteobacteria; Enterobacterales; Yersiniaceae
Description: bacterial LSU rRNA
Rfam family: Bacterial large subunit ribosomal RNA
Source: RNAcentral
UGUGCUGACAAACGAACAGGCGUUUUAAGGAUACGUUCGUUGGGUAGGGGAGCGUUCUGUAAGCCGUUGAAGGUGGCCUGUGAGGGCUGCUGGAGGUAUCAGAAGUGCGAAUGCUGACAUAAGUAACGAUAAUGCGGGUGAAAAACCCGCACGCCGGAAGACCAAGGGUUCCUGUCCAACGUUAAUCGGGGCAGGGUGAGUCGACCCCUAAGGCGAGGCUGAAAAGCGUAGUCGAUGGGAAACAGGUUAAUAUUCCUGUACUUGGUGUUACUGCGAAGGGGGGACGGAGAAGGCUAGGCUAGCCGGGCGACGGUUGUCCCGGUUUAAGCAUGUAGGCGGAGUGACCAGGUAAAUCCGGUUGCUUAUCAACGCUGAGGUGUGAUGACGAUGCACUACGGUGCAGAAGUAGUUGAUGCCAUGCUUCCAGGAAAAGCCUCUAAGCAUCAGGUAACAUGAAAUCGUACCCCAAACCGACACAGGUGGUCAGGUAGAGAAUACUCAGGCGCUUGAGAGAACUCGGGUGAAGGAACUAGGCAAAAUGGUGCCGUAACUUCGGGAGAAGGCACGCUGGCAUUAGGUAAAGGGACUUGCUCCCGGCGCCGAAGCCAGUCGCAGAUACCAGCUGGCUGCAACUGUUUAAUAAAAACACAGCACUGUGCAAACACGAAAGUGGACGUAUACGGUGUGACGCCUGCCCGGUGCUGGAAGGUUAAUUGAUGGGGUCAGCCGCAAGGCGAAGCUCUUGAUCGAAGCCCCAGUAAACGGCGGCCGUAACUAUAACGGUCCUAAGGUAGCGAAAUUCCUUGUCGGGUAAGUUCCGACCUGCACGAAUGGCGUAAUGAUGGCCAGGCUGUCUCCACCCGAGACUCAGUGAAAUUGAACUCGCUGUGAAGAUGCAGUGUACCCGCGGCAAGACGGAAAGACCCCGUGAACCUUUACUAUAGCUUGACACUGAACAUUGAGCCUUGAUGUGUAGGAUAGGUGGGAGGCAUAGAAGUGUGGACGCCAGUCUGCAUGGAGCCAACCUUGAAAUACCACCCUUUAAUGUUUGAUGUUCUAACUCGGCCCCGUAAUCCGGGGUGAGGACAGUGUCUGGUGGGUAGUUUGACUGGGGCGGUCUCCUCCCAAAGAGUAACGGAGGAGCACGAAGGUUAGCUAAUCACGGUCGGACAUCGUGAGGUUAGUGCAAAGGCAUAAGCUAGCUUGACUGCGAGAGUGACGGCUCGAGCAGGUACGAAAGUAGGUCUUAGUGAUCCGGUGGUUCUGAAUGGAAGGGCCAUCGCUCAACGGAUAAAAGGUACUCCGGGGAUAACAGGCUGAUACCGCCCAAGAGUUCAUAUCGACGGCGGUGUUUGGCACCUCGAUGUCGGCUCAUCACAUCCUGGGGCUGAAGUAGGUCCCAAGGGUAUGGCUGUUCGCCAUUUAAAGUGGUACGCGAGCUGGGUUUAGAACGUCGUGAGACAGUUCGGUCCCUAUCUGCCGUGGGCGUUGGAAGAUUGAGAGGGGCUGCUCCUAGUACGAGAGGACCGGAGUGGACGAAUCACUGGUGUUCGGGUUGUCAUGCCAAUGGCAUUGCCCGGUAGCUAAAUUCGGAAGAGAUAACCGCUGAAAGCAUCUAAGCGGGAAACUUGCCUCGAGAUGAGUCUUCCCUGGGGCUUUAAGCCCCCUGAAGGAACGUUAAAGACGAUGACGUUGAUAGGCUGGGUGUGUAAGUGCAGCGAUGCAUUGAGCUAACCAGUACUAAUGAACCGUGAGGCUUAACCUU